Molecule: long non-coding RNA, 219 nt
Filed under: Capsicum annuum
Lineage: Eukaryota; Viridiplantae; Streptophyta; Magnoliopsida; Solanales; Solanaceae
Description: long non-coding RNA (CANN_LNC019239)
Source: RNAcentral
AACAGACCAGCAAAACAACACAGACCACAAUAGCAAAACAGUUCAACAAAAGAGCAAAACCAACCAGAAAAAAGAAGAAAAAACAAAUCCAAUUUAAUAAUGUUUCAACAUCUAAUUCUUGUUCUUCUAAAGCUCAUCUACUUCAUCAAGAUUGUCCAGAUCUUGCAUUCUUCCAUUAUCAUCACAUUCCUCAUCAUCUUCCUCAACUCAGCUUGAAGU